GGUGUGCCUAAAUUCGCUUUUAGGCAAACAUUUGAUUAUUCCACAUUAUAUCUGAGCGUGUUUUAAACUACAAACACUUGUGCUGCGCUCGCAACACGCCGCGGCGCAUUCAGCGGUGCACAACACACCUAGGUUGGGCGUUUCAGCCCAGUGACGGUGACCCGAGAAGACUUUGAAGGUUCGGACCAGACAUUUGUGGCGCUCAUAGUUGACAGACUUCUGCAGGAACACUUUGCAUCCACACUGCUGAUGACACCAAAAUCUUUUAGAAGUUGACAAUUAGCCAGACCACACUUUAUGCCAUUUAAUAAAGCUAUUUUUAUGGGGAAUAUUUAAUAUGACUGGCUUUGUUCUUGCCUUGGCCCAAGGGAUAUUAAAAUAUGGCUUCCCAUUGACUCUUAAAACAAACAAUUUUAACCUUUAUUGUAUUUUCUUUGCAACUGGAUGAAUACCAAACAUUGCGUUUUAUUUGAAAACCAACCCAACAGAUUCAAGUGUCUUACACAGUAAUACAACCACUACAUAAAGUUCAUUGAGGUGGUAAGAGAAAGUUACAGGCAUGAUUUGAUUCCUUUUUUUGAAUAUUUUAUUUUCUUUAUCAAAAAUCCAUUUCAAAUCUGGUGAAUGUCUGUAAAACAAGACGAGAUAAAAAUCAAAGACUCAAUGAUGGUGUCCACAUACCCUCUUUCCUCAGCCCUCCUGAAACAGGGAUUCACUACUGAUGUCUAUCUGCUGAUUAAACCAUGAAGGGAAUAAACACCAAGAAUAAAGUAACAAAACGGUGGAGAACGCUAGAGCUAGCAGAUCACUGCGCACCAUGGCUUCUGUUCAAUUAACCACGAAACUUUAACAGGAAAAUUAUACAUAUUUGUACAUAUAUAUAUUAAACAAAAAAAAAAAAGAAACAGAAAACACUAUUCGCAAGUCUACUCCAGACGACGUGCGGCCGAUAACUACAGUGUUUUGCUUUUUACUUCGAAAUGCAUUUGGAAAUUGAGAUGGUAGACGCCAUGUCGGGAAGAUUUUGCAGUCAGUUUAUUGUGAGUCUGUUCGGGGGACUUCAACAUGGCAAGUUCAGGAUAGAGGAAAGAUGGAGCUCAAAACCAAAAAACAGGACAACGAAGCAUCUUGCUCCCC
This is a long non-coding RNA of Sinocyclocheilus rhinocerous, 1137 nucleotides long. RefSeq lists it as uncharacterized. The record is from RefSeq and is a predicted model, not a curated record. The transcript is spliced from 2 exons. Lineage: Eukaryota; Metazoa; Chordata; Actinopteri; Cypriniformes; Cyprinidae.